This is a non-coding RNA of Leuconostoc gelidum JB7, 117 nucleotides long. Lineage: Bacteria; Bacillati; Bacillota; Bacilli; Lactobacillales; Lactobacillaceae. The record is from Rfam.
UGUCGUAUUGAUAGCAUAGAGGACACACCUGUUCCCAUUCCGAACACAGAAGUUAAGCUCUAUCACGCCGAAAGUAGUUGCCGGAUCGCUGGCUGCGAGGAUAGGAAGAUGCGGUGC